GAUGAACGCUGGCGGCGUGCUUAACACAUGCAAGUCGAACGGGAAACCUUUAUUGAAGCUUCGGCAGAUUUAGCUGGUUUCUAGUGGCGGACGGGUGAGUAACGCGUGGGUAACCUGCCUUAUACAGGGGGAUAACAGUCAGAAAUGACUGCUAAUACCGCAUAAGCGCACAGGACCGCAUGGUCCGGUGUGAAAAACUCCGGUGGUAUAAGAUGGACCCGCGUUGGAUUAGCUAGUUGGUGGGGUAACGGCUCACCAAGGCGACGAUCCAUAGCCGGCCUGAGAGGGUGAACGGCCACAUUGGGACUGAGACACGGCCCAGACUCCUACGGGAGGCAGCAGUGGGGAAUAUUGCACAAUGGGGGAAACCCUGAUGCAGCGACGCCGCGUGAAGGAAGAAGUAUCUCGGUAUGUAAACUUCUAUCAGCAGGGAAGAUAGUGACGGUACCUGACUAAGAAGCCCCGGCUAACUACGUGCCAGCAGCCGCAGUAA
This 493-nucleotide ribosomal RNA is filed under the name uncultured bacterium. Its description in RNAcentral is "partial 16S ribosomal RNA". It matches the Rfam family "Bacterial small subunit ribosomal RNA", at positions 28 to 523 of the family's 1533-position model. The record is from RNAcentral.